CCAAGUCAGGCGGGGCCACCCGCUGAGUUUA
This 31-nucleotide ribosomal RNA is filed under the name Butomopsis latifolia. RNAcentral's name for it is "partial 26S ribosomal RNA". Lineage: Eukaryota; Viridiplantae; Streptophyta; Magnoliopsida; Alismatales; Alismataceae. The record is from RNAcentral.